GACGUAGGGCGCGAGCGUUGUCCGGAUUUAUUGGGCGUAAAGAGCUCGUAGGCGGCUUGUUGCGUCGACUGUGAAAACCCGCAGCUUAACUGCGGGCCUGCAGUUGAUACGGGCAGGCUAGAGUUCGGUAGGGGAGACUGGAAUUCCUGGUGUAGCGGUGAAAUGCGCAGAUAUCAGGAGGAACACCAAUAGCGAAGGCAGCUCGCUGGGACGGUAUUGACGCUAAGGCGCGAAAGCGUGGGGAGCAAACAGG
This 253-nucleotide ribosomal RNA is filed under the name uncultured bacterium. RNAcentral's name for it is "partial 16S ribosomal RNA". It matches the Rfam family "Bacterial small subunit ribosomal RNA", at positions 524 to 776 of the family's 1533-position model. The record is from RNAcentral.